RNAcentral lists this ribosomal RNA (466 nucleotides) under uncultured bacterium. RNAcentral's name for it is "bacterial SSU rRNA". It matches the Rfam family "Bacterial small subunit ribosomal RNA", at positions 917 to 1382 of the family's 1533-position model. The record is from RNAcentral.
GGGCCCGCACAAGCGGUGGAGCAUGUGGUUUAAUUCGACGCAACGCGAAGAACCUUACCUGGGCUCGAACGGCUGAUCAACGACUGUGGAAACACGGUUACUCCGCAAGGGGGUUCAGUCGAGGUGCUGCAUGGCUGUCGUCAGCUCGUGUCGUGAGAUGUUGGGUUAAGUCCCGCAACGAGCGCAACCCUUGCCCUGUGUUGCCAUCAUUCAGUUGGGAACUCUCAGGGGACCGCCAGCGAUAAGUUGGAGGAAGGUGGGGAUGACGUCAAGUCAUCAUGGCCUUUAUGUCCAGGGCUACACACGUGCUACAAUGGCCGGUACAAUACGACGCUAACCCGCGAGGGGGAGCAAAUCGGAAAAAACCGGUCUCAGUUCGGAUCGCAGGCUGCAACUCGCCUGCGUGAAGCUGGAAUCGCUAGUAAUGCCGGAUCAGCAUGCCGGCGUGAAUACGUUCCCGGGCCUU